Molecule: transfer RNA, 88 nt
Filed under: Anaeroplasma bactoclasticum
Lineage: Bacteria; Bacillati; Mycoplasmatota; Mollicutes; Anaeroplasmatales; Anaeroplasmataceae
Description: tRNA-Leu
Rfam family: tRNA
About the family: Transfer RNA (tRNA) molecules are approximately 80 nucleotides in length. Their secondary structure includes four short double-helical elements and three loops (D, anti-codon, and T loops).
Source: RNAcentral
GCCCUGGUGGUGAAAUAGGUAGACACGUGGGACUUAAAAUCCCAUGCCCUAACACGGCGUGCCGGUUCAAGUCCGGCCCAGGGCACCA